This 91-nucleotide small nuclear RNA is filed under the name Mesitornis unicolor (brown roatelo). RNAcentral's name for it is "U5 spliceosomal RNA". It matches the Rfam family "U5 spliceosomal RNA". From Rfam's summary of the family: U5 RNA is a component of both types of known spliceosome. The precise function of this molecule is unknown, though it is known that the 5' loop is required for splice site selection and p220 binding, and that both the 3' stem-loop and the Sm site are important for Sm protein binding and cap methylation. Lineage: Eukaryota; Metazoa; Chordata; Aves; Mesitornithiformes; Mesitornithidae. The record is from Rfam by way of RNAcentral.
UUCCUUGGAUCGUAUAAAUCUUUUGACUUUUACUAAAGAUUUCCAUUGAGAGGAACAAUUUAUUUAUAGCACCCUUCCAGUACUUAAGGGG